Non-coding RNA from Sus scrofa (pig), 513 nucleotides. NCBI's taxonomy places the organism in Eukaryota, Metazoa, Chordata, Mammalia, Artiodactyla, Suidae. The record is from RefSeq and is a predicted model, not a curated record.
CUGGCGCGCACGCGGCACCAUCUCAGUCCCGACAGUGAGCCAGGACAGGCACAAUGGGAGAGAAGCGGGGGCCGGAGGGCAAGAGCUGGCCUCAGACUACCCGGGAACUAGAACCUGAGCUAGACUCUCCCGAGGCCGUAGCCCUGGAGCGCCGACCCGCCGCACACGCAGCUCCUCCCAGCGCCGCUCCCGGCAGGGGCGGCGCCGCUGAGUUGGUCCGAGGGGAUUUGCCCAGGCUCGGCUGGGGGCGGGGAAUGCCCCCCUCCCAGCCCCUACUAGCCACGCCCCGUCCCCCGCCCCUGGGCCCCGCAGGAAAUAGGGGUGGGUCCCGGGCCUAACGUGGCGGUAGGGGGAGUAAGGAUGCGGCGGAGGGCAGAGUCCGGGAGGGCCUGGCUGCCGGGGAAUGAAGCCUCCGCCUUCUCCGGUGGAAGCCUUUAAAUACGGGCUCCGGCUGGGCACUCGGGGUGAGGCGUCUGGCAGCCUGAGAGGGGUGUGCGGUGAACAGGGAUCAGA